CCUCCGGGGGGCAGCAGUGGGGAAUAUUGCACAAUGGGGGAAACCCUGAUUCAGCAACGCCGCGUGUGCGAUGAAGGCCUUCGGGUCGUAAAGCUCUGUCCUAAGGGAAGAAUACUGACGGUACCUUAGUAGGAAUCCCCGGCUAACUACGUGCCAGCAGCCGCGGUAAUACGUAGGGGGCUAGCGUUAUCCGGAAUUACUGGGCGUAAAGGUUGCGUAGGCGGCCCUUGAAGUCAGAGGUGAAAGGCUACGGAUCAACCGUAGUAAGCCUUUGAAACUGUAGAGGUUGAGUGCAGGAGAGGAGAAGAAAAUUCCAAGUGUAACGGUGAAAUGCGUAGAUAUUGGGAGGCACACCAGUUGCGACGGCGGCUCUCUGGACUGUAACUGACGCUGAGGCACGAAAGCGUGGGGAGCGAACAGGAUUAGAUCCCCUUGUAGUC
This 440-nucleotide ribosomal RNA is filed under the name uncultured bacterium. RNAcentral describes it as "bacterial SSU rRNA". It matches the Rfam family "Bacterial small subunit ribosomal RNA", at positions 338 to 795 of the family's 1533-position model. The record is from RNAcentral.